Molecule: ribosomal RNA, 692 nt
Filed under: Clostridioides difficile
Lineage: Bacteria; Bacillati; Bacillota; Clostridia; Peptostreptococcales; Peptostreptococcaceae
Description: bacterial LSU rRNA
Rfam family: Bacterial large subunit ribosomal RNA
Source: RNAcentral
CAAGGUGAGAGAUACGGAGGUAGAGCACUGAAUGUCCUAGGGGGUAUUGCACCUACCGAAGACUAUCAAACUCCGAAUGCCGUCAUCUUAUACUUGGGAGUCAGACUGUGGGUGAUAAGAUUCAUAGUCGAAAGGGCAACAGCCCAGAUCGUCAGCUAAGGUCCCUAAAUGUAAGUUAAGUGGUAAAGGAUGUGGGAUUGCACAGACAACCAGGAUGUUGGCUUAGAAGCAGCCACUCAUUCAAAGAGUGCGUAAUAGCUCACUGGUCGAGUGAUCCUGCGCCGAAGAUUUCCGGGGCUAAAACUUACUACCGAAGCUACGGCAUCAGUAAUGAUGGGUAGGGGAGCUUCCCAUACGGGUUGAAGCAUGACCGUAAGGACAUGUGGACAGUAUGGGAGUGAGAAUGUUGGCAUGAGUAGCGAGAUGUGGGUGGGAAUCCCACAGGCCGUAAACCCAAGGUUUCCAGGGGAAGGUUCGUCCACCCUGGGUUAGUCGGGACCUAAGCUGAGGCCGAAAGGCGUAGGUGAUGGACAACAGGUUGAUAUUCCUGUACUACCGAUAACCGUUUGAGAGAAGGGAUGACACAGUAGGAUAAGCUAAGCACACUGUUGGUUAUGUGUGCCCAAGCAUUGAGGCAGUCAAAGUAGGCAAAUCCGCUUUGAUAAUGCUGGGAUGUGAUGGGGAGCGAAAUU